GAAGUCCGCCAGGCAACCGCUGGAUGCGUCAAAACAUCUGGAGGAAAGUCCGGGCUCCGCAGAGCAGGAUGCCGGCUAACGGCCGGGCGCAGCAAGCCUCGCAAGAGGCCCAAGGCGACGGAAAGUGGCACAGAAAACAUACCGCCCAAGUUCGCGAGAACCGGCAAGGGUGAAAAGGCGAGGUAAGAGCUCACCGCGCCGCCAGUAAUGGCGGUGGCAGGCAAAACCCCAUCAGGAGCAAGGCCAAAUAGGGGAGCAUGGACGUUGCUCGCGUCGCUCCCGGGUAGGCUGCUAGAGGCUGCCGGUAACGGUAGUCCCAGAGGAAUGGUUGCCCACGACAGAACCCGGCUUAUCGGCGGACUUCCAUU
This 368-nucleotide RNase P RNA is filed under the name Zoogloeaceae bacterium. Its description in RNAcentral is "RNase P RNA component class A". It matches the Rfam family "Bacterial RNase P class A". Rfam says of the family: Ribonuclease P (RNase P) is a ubiquitous endoribonuclease, found in archaea, bacteria and eukarya as well as chloroplasts and mitochondria. Its best characterised activity is the generation of mature 5'-ends of tRNAs by cleaving the 5'-leader elements of precursor-tRNAs. The record is from RNAcentral. Lineage: Bacteria; Pseudomonadati; Pseudomonadota; Betaproteobacteria; Rhodocyclales; Zoogloeaceae.